CCGAGUUUCUACUCGAAAACCCAUUGUGAACUUUACCACUGUUGCUUCGGCGAGGCUUCAAACCCCUCGCCGGAGGUACAAACUCUUUACGUAUGUGUUGUGGCAUAUCUGAGUAUAAGAAUUUAAAUAUUCA
RNAcentral lists this unclassified non-coding RNA (133 nucleotides) under uncultured Chaetosphaeria. Its description in RNAcentral is "sequence contains ITS1". Lineage: Eukaryota; Fungi; Ascomycota; Sordariomycetes; Chaetosphaeriales; Chaetosphaeriaceae. The record is from RNAcentral.